RNAcentral lists this ribosomal RNA (543 nucleotides) under uncultured bacterium. Its description in RNAcentral is "bacterial SSU rRNA". It matches the Rfam family "Bacterial small subunit ribosomal RNA", at positions 355 to 896 of the family's 1533-position model. The record is from RNAcentral.
UGAGGAAUAUUGGUCAAUGGACGGAAGUCUGAACCAGCCAAGUAGCGUGCAGGAUGACGGCCCUAUGGGUUGUAAACUGCUUUUGUAUGGGGAUAAAGUUAGGGACGUGUCCCUAUUUGCAGGUACCAUAUGAAUAAGGACCGGCUAAUUCCGUGCCAGCAGCCGCGGUAAUACGGAAGGUCCAGGCGUUAUCCGGAUUUAUUGGGUUUAAAGGGAGCGUAGGCCGUGGAUUAAGCGUGUUGUGAAAUGUAGACGCUCAACGUCUGAAUUGCAGCGCGAACUGGUUCACUUGAGUAUGCGCAACGUAGGCGGAAUUCGUCGUGUAGCGGUGAAAUGCUUAGAUAUGACGAAGAACUCCGAUUGCGAAGGCAGCUUGCGGGAGCACAACUGACGCUGAAGCUCGAAGGUGCGGGUAUCAAACAGGAUUAGAUACCCUGGUAGUCCGCACAGUAAACGAUGGAUGCCCGUUGUUAGUUCACUUAGGAAUUAGCGACCAAGCGAAAGCAUUAAGCAUCCCACCUGGGGAGUACGCCGGCAACGGUG